RNAcentral lists this ribosomal RNA (477 nucleotides) under uncultured anaerobic ammonium-oxidizing bacterium. RNAcentral's name for it is "bacterial SSU rRNA". It matches the Rfam family "Bacterial small subunit ribosomal RNA", at positions 365 to 832 of the family's 1533-position model. The record is from RNAcentral.
UUCGCAAUGCCCGAAAGGGUGACGAAGCGACGCCGCGUGCGGGAAGAAGGCCUUCGGGUUGUAAACCGCUGUCGGGAGUUAAGAAAUGCAAGGAUGUUAAUAGCGUCUUUGCUUGACUAAGGCUCCGGAGGAAGCCACGGCUAACUCUGUGCCAGCAGCCGCGGUAAUACAGAGGCGGCAAGCGUUGUUCGGAAUUAUUGGGCGUAAAGAGCACGUAGGCGGCUGUGUAAGUCGGUUGUGAAAGCCUUCCGCUCAACGGAAGAACGGCAUCCGAUACUGCAUGGCUUGAGUGCGGGAGGGGAGAGUGGAACUUCUGGUGGAGCGGUGAAAUGCGUAGAUAUCAGAAGGAACGCCGGCGGCGAAAGCGACUCUCUGGCCCGUAACUGACGCUGAGUGUGCGAAAGCUAGGGGAGCAAACGGGAUUAGAUACCCCGGUAGUCCUAGCCGUAAACGAUGGGCACUAAGUAGAGGGGUUUU